CCUCUUUCCCUUCUCAGUUUCUUCCGUCGAUCUCUGGAUCAAACCUCCUUCUCUUCUUUUCUGUUUUAUCUCCUUCUUUUCGAAAAUCAUAGAGAAAGUAGAAAUUAGGGUUUCAAUCUCUAUUUUAUGACAAAUUUGAAUCAAUGGCGGUUGAUGAAUUUUGGAGAAAUUAGGGUUGGAUUUCGGUGAAAAGGGUAUUGGUUCCUCUUUACUUCAAGAUGUAAGAGAGGGGUGUUGUGAUCGAUAGAUUCUGAUGCUGUGAAGAACAUAGGAUUAGAAUUCAGAUUUUUUCUGCUGAUUCAUGGCGAGAAAGAGAUGAAGAACUGAAGAUUAAAUAGAGAUUUGUUAUGGUGAUUGAGUUACAGAGAUGGGUUCAAUUGAUUUUAGGGGUUUGAACUGAUUUGGAUUGAGCAACUGAUGAUUAUUUAGGGUUUGUAGAAGAUGGACCUAUGCUCGAUUUGUGAGAAGAAGAAUUGGCAGUUUAUUUUUGCAACUGGGUCAUUCUCAGAUUUCGUGGGAGAAAAUCAGGCAAUGAGAUCGCAGGGGUGGCUACCUUUCUUUCACAGUGCUUAUCAGGUUAUGACAGCAAGACAAAGGGUUUUGUUUGAGUAUCACGGUACCAAUUACAUCUUCACAGGCUGUUGUAGAAGGGGAAGAGAAAUCGAACAACCUCGAGAGAGGGAUGAUACCAAGUGAAACAUAUUUUUUCUUUGAAGCAUCCAAUGCGAGUGGUAUCGAGGUUGUGUUUCAUUUCCCUUGUAACAUGCCCGUUUUCUUACUCUCUCCACAUGUAUUCUUCCCUACUAUUUAAUUUAGUAAGUUGUCUUCCGAUUGUUUUUACACUUUUUCUGCACCUGGAUAAGUUAUUAAACUAAUGUAUUUACUUGGAGAUAUGCAUAUUUUCAACCAACGUGAAUCCAUUAUCCGGCAUAAGGAGUUCAAUCUCCAGUCACUAGGUUUAGGUGGUCUAAGUGCAGAAUUUGCUGAUAUCUUCCAAAAAGCAUUUGCUUCCCGUGUUUUUCCUGCCUAUGUGACCAAUAGGCAAUCUCCGCUUAGACGAAAUUAGUCUUUUCUUAUUUAACUGGUUAUAUGGGCCUCCUGGUACUGGAAAGACCCUUAUGGCUCGUCAAAUUGGUCAAAUGUUAAAUGGAAAGGACCCAAAGAUUGUGAACGGGCCUGAAGUGUUAAGCAAAUUUGUCGGAGAGACUGAGAAGAACGUUAGAGAUUUAUUUUCUGAUGCUGAGAAUGACCAAAUGACUCUAGGGGAUCAAAGUGAGAUGCACGUUAUCAUAUUUGAUGAGAUCGAUGCUAUCUGUAAGUUAGUUCAAUGACGUCAAUUAAGGAAAACUGGUGAGGCUUCUCCAAGGAGUACUAAGAAAGAUUGGGCAUAAUGGAUGAGGCAUUUGGUUAUUGAUCUUCUUAAAGAAUACCCAUCUCCAUUUUUUUUUCCUUGCCUUUUGCGAGGCUUGCGCAAUUUCAGACUUUGUGAGUUGCUGGGCUCAUCUGACGAUAAAUUUUUAUGAGAGGCUUCUCGUACCUGGUCUCAAAGUGGAUGUGUGAAAGUGAGAAUCGAUUCUUUAAGUGGCCAGCGCGGGGAAGGAAAUGAGAAUGAAACUUCUCGACGAAUCAAAACAGAACUUCUUGUACAGAUGCAGCCUGUUGUAUUUUGCGGGAUUGCCUACAUCGAGUUUUCUGAUGCCCAAGCUUUCAACAAAAGCAAUCCUGCAAAGGAUAUAACGCUUAGUUGCGGUUAUUUGAAUGAUGCUCUAUUUCAUCAAAAAGGGUGGAGAACAAAGCAACUAAGAUUUGAGUUCCAUGUAUUCAAGUUUUAUAGGCAGUUAGUAAGUUUUUAUGUGUUUCCAUGUAUUCCUUUAGAAAUUUGAUACUUAACAAAAAAAAACAAAGUUUGGUACUUAGAGAAAUUUCAAUUCUUUUGUAAUUUAUAUCUGUUCAGUUAUUUUGUAAUAUAAAUCUGAUAUGAAUUGAGUGAAUGUGAUAUAAAUAGAUUGAAGAAGUUGUUGUUGAGUGUGGAUGA
Molecule: long non-coding RNA, 2035 nt
Organism: Papaver somniferum (opium poppy)
Lineage: Eukaryota; Viridiplantae; Streptophyta; Magnoliopsida; Ranunculales; Papaveraceae
Exons: 9
Source: RefSeq, a predicted model, not a curated record